This 76-nucleotide transfer RNA is filed under the name Methylocystis sp. Its description in RNAcentral is "tRNA-Thr". It matches the Rfam family "tRNA". Rfam says of the family: Transfer RNA (tRNA) molecules are approximately 80 nucleotides in length. Their secondary structure includes four short double-helical elements and three loops (D, anti-codon, and T loops). Further hydrogen bonds mediate the characteristic L-shaped molecular structure. tRNAs have two regions of fundamental functional importance: the anti-codon, which is responsible for specific mRNA codon recognition, and the 3' end, to which the tRNAs corresponding amino acid is attached (by aminoacyl-tRNA synthetases). tRNAs cope with the degeneracy of the genetic code in two manners: having more than one tRNA (with a specific anti-codon) for a particular amino acid; and 'wobble' base-pairing, i.e. permitting non-standard base-pairing at the 3rd anti-codon position. Lineage: Bacteria; Pseudomonadati; Pseudomonadota; Alphaproteobacteria; Hyphomicrobiales; Methylocystaceae. The record is from RNAcentral.
GCCGCUUUAGCUCAGCUGGUAGAGCACCACAUUCGUAAUGAGGGGGUCGGGGGUUCGAAUCCCUCAAGCGGCACCA